Molecule: long non-coding RNA, 431 nt
Organism: Sander lucioperca (pikeperch)
Lineage: Eukaryota; Metazoa; Chordata; Actinopteri; Perciformes; Percidae
Exons: 3
Source: RefSeq, a predicted model, not a curated record
UCUCUGAUCUUCCACCAGUGACGAAUAAGACCGUGACAUCGCUUCCUAUUGAGUCCCCAUAUUCCUUGAUUGGAAAUCAUAAUAAAGGUUUGUCACAGCUCGCUGUCAACACGUAUUGUUUACUGGAGAAACCCAAAGCGCCGGCAAACAACCAGAACCAAUAACUCUGCUCCGUCACUGCAGCCGGGGAAUGACUGUAACGGCUCUGUAGCGACACUUUCUACCUAUUUAUAGUAUAGUUGUGAUAUCACAAUGGAUGGCUCGUUUAAAGGCACAGUUUCUGAAUACUGGCUGUGUGCAUUUCUCAGUGGAUUGAACGUUUUGUUACUUUCACAGUAGUCUAUAUAUCGACAACACUUCAUUUACGGGAUUGCCCCGUUGCCGCCGGAAAUUCCACCGGAUGUCCCUCUUUUCGGCCGGAUGUCCAUCAC